GUUCGUCUUCAGGGCAGGGUGUGAUUCCCGACCGGCGGUGAUAGUCCGCGACCCGCAUUGUGCGGCUGACUUGGUGCAAAUCCAAGACCGAUAGUUAAAGUCUAGAUGGAAGAAGAUAGAG
Molecule: non-coding RNA, 121 nt
Filed under: Agrilactobacillus composti
Lineage: Bacteria; Bacillati; Bacillota; Bacilli; Lactobacillales; Lactobacillaceae
Also listed under: 1 other name
Description: Lactobacillus composti FMN sequence
Rfam family: FMN riboswitch aptamer (RFN element)
About the family: The RFN element is a highly conserved domain that is found frequently in the 5'-untranslated regions of prokaryotic mRNAs that encode for flavin mononucleotide (FMN) biosynthesis and transport proteins. This element is a metabolite-dependent riboswitch that directly binds FMN in the absence of proteins.
Source: RNAcentral